Molecule: small RNA, 1164 nt
Filed under: Histoplasma capsulatum var. duboisii H88
Lineage: Eukaryota; Fungi; Ascomycota; Eurotiomycetes; Onygenales; Ajellomycetaceae
Description: Histoplasma capsulatum H88 hypothetical RNA
Source: RNAcentral
UAACCUCUAACCUAAUCUCCAAACUUAGGGCGUGUUCGGUUGCACAGUUUACCUCUGUUAAACCUGCACCCAAAAAGUGGAUAUUAGCAUGCCGCUGACAUUGAUUUUUCAAACCUUGCUUGCCACUCUAAUCUUAUAGUGGUUUUGACAUAUUUAAUCAAUUACACACUGUGAUAAUCUCAGACUUCAUUAUUUCAUUUCAAACUCAUAUAUUUUAUAUAAGAAAAGUGUGCAAGAUGUCAGAUAGUCAGUCUUCAAAUAAUAAGCUCUUUGAAUUUAAAGAAACUCAUCUGAGCUUAUUCUUAUCUGUUAUAUUAUCCGCACUGUCAAUAAUAAUAGAAGAUUUCACUUAGUUGACUGUUUCAUUUACCUCUCAUCAAUCCAUUUAAUUUAUAUCUCAAUUCACAUUUCAAUUCAUAUCUUAAUUUAUAUCUCAAUUUAUAUUUCAAUCUGCAUCUCAAUCUGUAUUUAAAUUCACUGUCUGUAUAUAUAGUUUAUAAAGUUCAUCAAUGAAGGAAGCAAUGCUGCAGAAUCUACUUGAUAUAAAAAAGAAUAAUAUAACAGAUUAGUAUCUGUUAACUAGUAAGUUAACUUACACAAUCAAUCUUUAUCAUCUACUUAUUAUAAUUAUGUGCUUAUGUACAUCUACAAAAUACUCCUCUUCUUAUAACUUCACUCUGUAUCUAUAUAGUCUCUAACAAUUUCUUUAUAUAAUUUUUAACAUUCUUUUACUCUGUGUUUCACUGUAGUAUAAUCUCUGAUAUUUUUCUAUUCUGAUCUCUUCUUUAUAAGAAUCCUCUUUAUACACUCUUUUUCUUCUGAUUUCUUUUUCUCUUUCUUUUCUUAAUCAAUUUGUAAACUGUAUUAGGAUAGUACUAAGUCCAUUAAUUGAUAGUACGUCUGUGAGCAUUAGAUGGAAACAAGCAUUAGAUGGUUGAUUACAAUAUGGGUGCCAAGCCAGAAUAGCUCAGCGUGGCGCUAACACUAACUACAUCAUGGCAUAGUGCAAAAGUUUAUUGUAGUGCAAUCAAGGUUGAACUUUUGCACCAUAUUCAACUGUCUGGUUACGAUCGACCAACCUUCUACCUCUGUCAAUUCUUUUAGAAAAAUUCAUAUUAUUGAAUUAUGUUCAUAAUACUACGCAUCUAUAUAUAUAGCGACCUG